GAGUUGGUGUCUCUGUCCUCCAGGCUGAGGCGCAGUAGCCCAAUCAAGGCUCACUGCAACCUCUGCCUCCCGGGUUCAAGCAAUUCACCUGCCUCAGCCUCCCAAGUAGCUGGGAUUACAGGCAUAUGCCACCAUGCCCAGCUAAUUUUUGUAUUUUUAGUAGAGACAGGGUUUCACCAUGUUGGCCAGGCUGGUCUCGAACUCCUGACCUCAGGUGAUCCACCCACCUUAGCCUCCCAAAGUGCUGGGAUUACAGGCAUGAGCCACCGCGCCUGGCCCAUUUUUAGUUUUUUUUAAAUUUAUUUUUGAGACAGGGUCUUGUUCUGUUGCUCAGGCUGGAGUGCAAUAGUGCAAUCAGAGUUCAGUGCAGUUUCAACCUCCAGGGUUCAAAGCGAUCCUCCCACCUCAGCCUCCCGAGUAGCUGGGACUACAGGCAUGGACCACCAUGCCGGACUAAUUUAUUUUUUGUAGAGACAGGGUCUCACUAUGUUGCCUGGCUGGUCUUGAACUCCUGGGCUCAACUGAUCUGCUGACCUCGGCCUCUCAAAGUGCUGGGAUUAUAGGCAUGAGCCACCAUGCCUGGUCCUCUACUGGCAUUUUAAAUGAGCAGAGAGUAAGGGGUUUCCUUGGUGUUUUGAAAUGAUGCUUGCCUGCUACUGUGUACCAGAGGUUUCAAUGUGUGUGGGACAAGUACAAGACAGAGUGAAAACUGGUGGACAGCUGCCCUGAAGUCUGAUAUUGAAGGAUCAAACAUCUCCUUUGUGAUUGUCCCCGCUUCACUGAGUCUCCUUUGCUUACUCAUACCCCAAUCUUCUAAGGACAUACCCAAUUUUACUUUGUCUUUGUAUGGACCAAUAAAAGAGGCUAGAACUGAGAUAAGAGAUGUUCUACUUAGGGGCACAUUGGAGACUAGGGCCCAGGAAGAAUAUGAAGACCUGAACUCUACAGCUUUAAUGUAAGUAUCAUGGCACAAAAUGAGAUAUGGGACUUCAGGAAUAAUUUAUUCAAUGCUAAAUAAGGUGAGGAGUGGCAAGUCUAAAAUACAUACCCUCUAUGUACAUUCUAAUCUUGUUCAUCCUCUACAGGUACAACAAUAUACACAUUCACUCACCCAACUCACCAUUUCCUGGCAGCUAAAAUGACAGGAUCUUCUCUACAACUUAUCCCCACCCCCAUCAGUCAUACCCACCUUCUGGAAGUCAGAUCCUUCAGGUGAUUGCCUACUGGCCACAAGGGCACCCAUCAUUUCCGUGGCCUCUGUGGUUUCUAUCCCUGCCUUUCUGGGGGCAGAAAUGUCUGCUGCAGUCCUUCCUUUUGGAAAUCUGAAGACUUUUGGAAUUGCCCCUGAAAAGAAAGGAAGAUAAGUGGGUGAGAGUCUGUAACAAUGUGACCAUAGUCAUCCUUAGGAAGGUGGUUACAGGAAGGCUGGGUGGAAACUUAGCAGGGACAGAGUGUCAGAGAGACGAAAUAAAAUAAUAUCUUAAUAUGGCUGAUUUUAUCUCUGCUUUCUCCACAUCCUCUACCUUUUGUUCUCCCGUUAUGUAACUCUGCCUCUGUUUUCACCCUGUUCGUUCACUUCCCUUAAACAUACUCAUUUCCCUUAUUUUCUACAAAACUUCUUUCUUGCCUAAUCCUCCACAAAUGGAACCAAAGCCUGUAAAUCUUUAAAUCAUUACAUCUAGAUGUUAUCUUCUGUCCUUUUGCAUGCGACAGACUUUUUUUAUCUUUUGUGUACCUGUAUUACUUUGUGAAACAGGUAUCUUGAUUUAUAUCAUUUAAUGUCCAAGUGCUUGUACAACAUUAAUGAAUAUGAACAACCAGUUCAACAGAGGUUGGGGAAAGAAUGGGAAGAGGAAGAGAGGAAGAAGGAAAGAAUGGUAAGACAUUCCUGAAGAAGGUAUGUUGCCCAGCAUCGAUGGGAAUAGAAGAAUUUAGGAAGUCUUGAGGGAAAAGCAGCAGGACCUAUUUGUAAUGAUGGAAAACAGACAAGAGGUGUGAAGGAAAACAGGGAUGCACUGAGUAGGAGAGACACAACUUAAAAAAAAUAAUUUUAAUACAGAAAAGUAUACAGAGGGGUAAAAAAAAAACUGGCCUAUAAUUCCACAGCACUGGAUAACCCUUACUACAUGUUAUCAUUUUAUACAUGUAUGUGUGUGCAUGUGUAUAGUUUAUAAAACAUUUAUAUUUUAUAGAAAAUGCAUUUUCAUGGUCACAAUGUUGAAACAAAACAGAAGAUACAAAAUAAAAAGUGAUAGCAUUCCUUUUCCCUCUCCCAAAGGCAACCUUUUUUGGUUACGAUUUAGUUUUGAUGAGAUGACAAGAGGAUGCUGGAGACCAUAAACUGUUGAAUUACUUCUUCAACCAAAUCAGAGGGGUUUGGGGUUUGACUGACUUCAGCAUGCUUAUGAAGUCUGGCUGGAAGGAAAAAGGAGGCCAUUUGAAAACUGGAUCCCCAAA
This 2457-nucleotide long non-coding RNA is filed under the name Homo sapiens (human). Its description in RNAcentral is "HSALNT0106363". Lineage: Eukaryota; Metazoa; Chordata; Mammalia; Primates; Hominidae. The record is from RNAcentral.